UGGCGGAGUAAGGCGUGCCGCUGCAAACUGGCCUCUGGGCCGGGGGCGAGCAGCCCCCGGGAGGCCGAGUGCAUCUGUUGGACCGUGCGAGGAGAAGAAAAAAAAUAUCGGCCAGAGGAGAGGAACUAACCGAACAUUCUUCCUCCCUACCUUAUAGAGGGGAGUGGUCAUCUACACUAAAGCAAAGUGUUAGGCGCGUCCGUGCGAAGAGACCACCAAACAGGCUUUGUGUUCCUUAUCACAGGAAGAAAAUUUUCCUUGACCUUUAGGUGCUUUUAUAUUCAUCUCAAAAACAAAAUUCUGAACUCAGGACUUGGCAAACCACCGCUGAAACUUCACUUCUACACAGAGGCUUUCUUUCCCAGAAACCCAGACCAGUGCUCAAUGGUGCCCAGGCUGGAGUGCAGUGGCAUGAUCUUGGCUCGCUACAACCUCCACCUCCCAGCCGCCUGCCUUGGCCUCCCAAAGUGCCGAGAUUACAGCCUCUGCCCAGCCGCCACCCCGUCUGGGAAGUGAGGAGCGUCUCUGCCUGGCCACCCAUCGUCUGGGAUGUGAGGAGCCCCUCUGCCUGGCUGCCCAGUCUGGAAAGUGAGGAGCGUCUCUGCCCGCCCGCCAUCCCAUCUAGGAAGUGAGGAGCGCCUCUUCCCGGCCGCCAUCCCAUCUAGGAAGUGAGGAGCGUCUCUGCCCGGCCUCCCAUGGUCUGAGAUGUGGGGAACGCCUCUGCCCUGCCGCCCCGUCUGGGAUGUGAGGAGCGCCUCUGCCCGGCCGCGACCCUGCCUGGGAGGUGAGGAGCGUCUCUGCCCGGCUGCCCCAUCUUGAGAAGUGAGGAGACCCUCCGCCCGGCAGCCUCCCUGUCUGAGAAGUGAGGAGCCCCUCCGCCCGGCAGCCACCCCAUCUGGGAAGUGAGGAGCGUCUCCGCCCGGCAGCCACCCUGUCGGGGAGGGAGGUGGGGGGUCAGCCCCCCGCCCAGCCAGCCGCCCCGUCCAGGAGGGAGGUGGGGGGGUCAGCCCCCCGCCCGGCCAGCCGCCCCGUCCGGGAGGGAGGUGGGGUGGUCCAGCCCCCCGCCCGGCCAGCCGUCCCGUCCUGGAGGGAGGUGGGGGGGUCAGCCCCCCGCCCGGCCAGCCGCCCCGUCCGCGAGGUGAUGGGCGCCUCUGCCCGGCCGCCCCUACUGGGAAGUGAGGAGCCCCUCUGCCCGGCCACCACCCUGUCUGGGAGGUGUACCCAACAGCUCAUUGAGAAUGGGCCAUGAUGACAAUGGCAGUUUUGUGGAAUAGAAAAGGGGGAAAGGUGGGGAAAAGAUUGAGAAAUCGGAUGGCUGCUGUGUCUGUGUAGAAAGAAGUAGACAUGGGAGACUUUUCAUUUUGUUCUGUACUAAGAAAAAUUCUUCUGCCUUGGGAUCCUGUUGAUCUAUGACCUUACCCCCAAUCCUGUGCUCUCUGAAACAUGUGCUGUGUCCACUCAGGGUUAAAUGGAUUAAGGGCGGUGCAAGAUGUGCUUUGUUAAACAGAUGCUUGAAGGCAGCAUGCUCCUUAAGAGUCAUCACCACUCCCUAAUCUCAAGUACCCAGGGACACAAACACUGCGGAAGGCCGCAGGGUCCUCUGCCUAGGAAAACCAGAGACCUUUGUUCACUUGUUUAUCUGCUGACCUUCCCUCCACUAUUGUCCUAUGACCCUGCCAAAUCCCCCUCUGCGAGAAACACCCAAGAAUGAUCAAUAAAAAAAUAAAUAAAUAAAUAAAUAAAUAAAAAAGAAAAAAAUGCGCAGACUAAAAGAGAAAG
This is a long non-coding RNA of Homo sapiens (human), 1779 nucleotides long. Ensembl annotates it as OIP5 antisense RNA 1. Its record names the gene OIP5-AS1. The record is from Ensembl. Lineage: Eukaryota; Metazoa; Chordata; Mammalia; Primates; Hominidae.